This 419-nucleotide ribosomal RNA is filed under the name uncultured bacterium. Its description in RNAcentral is "bacterial SSU rRNA". It matches the Rfam family "Bacterial small subunit ribosomal RNA", at positions 340 to 752 of the family's 1533-position model. The record is from RNAcentral.
UACGGAAGGCAGCAGUGGGGAAUAUUGCACAAUGGGCGCAAGCCUGAUGCAGCCAUGCCGCGUGUAUGAAGAAGGCCUUCGGGUUGUAAAGUACUUUCAGCGGGGAGGAAGGCGAUGCGGUUAAUAACCGCGUCGAUUGACGUUACCCGCAGAAGAAGCACCGGCUAACUCCGUGCCAGCAGCCGCGGUAAUACGGAGGGUGCAAGCGUUAAUCGGAAUUACUGGGCGUAAAGCGCACGCAGGCGGUCUGUUAAGUCAGAUGUGAAAUCCCCGGGCUUAACCUGGGAACUGCAUUUUGAAACUGGCAGGCUUGAGUCUUGUAGAGGGGGUAGAAUUCCAGGUGUAGCGGUGAAAUGCGUAGAGAUCUGGAGGAAUACCGGUGGCGAAGGCGGCCCCUGGGACAAGACUGACGCUCAGGU